GGCCUAACACAUGCAAGUCGAGCGGCAGCGACAUGAUAGAAGCUUCGGUGGACAUCAUGGGCGGCGAGCGGCGGACGGGUGAGUAAUGCCUGGGAAUAUGCCCUGAUGUGGGGGAUAACCAUUGGAAACGAUGGCUAAUACCGCAUAAUCUCUUCGGAGCAAAGAGGGGGACCUUCGGGCCUCUCGCGUCAGGAUUAGCCCAGGUGGGAUUAGCUAGUUGGUGAGGUAAAGGCUCACCAAGGCGACGAUCCCUAGCUGGUCUGAGAGGAUGAUCAGCCACACUGGAACUGAGACACGGUCCAGACUCCUACGGGAGGCAGCAGUGGGGAAUAUUGCACAAUGGGGGAAACCCUGAUGCAGCCAUGCCGCGUGUAUGAAGAAGGCCUUCGGGUUGUAAAGUACUUUCAGCAGUGAGGAAGGUGGUGUCGUUAAUAGCGGCAUUGCUUGACGUUAGCUGCAGAAGAAGCACCGGCUAACUCCGUGCCAGCAGCCGCGGUAAUACGGAGGGUGCGAGCGUUAAUCGGAAUUACUGGGCGUAAAGCGCAUGCAGGCGGUCUGUUAAGCAAGAUGUGAAAGCCCGGGGCUUAACCUCGGAACUGCAUUUUGAACUGGCAGACUAGAGUCUUGUAGAGGGGGGUAGAAUUUCAGGUGUAGCGGUGAAAUGCGUAGAGAUCUGAAGGAAUACCGGUGGCGAAGGCGGCCCCCUGGACAAAGACUGACGCUCAGAUGCGAAAGCGUGGGGAGCAAACAGGAUUAGAUACCCUGGUAGUCCACGCCGUAAACGAUGUCUACUUGGAGGUUGGUGUCUUGAACACUGGCUUUCGGAGCUAACGCGUUAAGUAGACCGCCUGGGGAGUACGGUCGCAAGAUUAAAACUCAAAUGAAUUGACGGGGGCCCGCACAAGCGGUGGAGCAUGUGGUUUAAUUCGAUGCAACGCGAA
This 941-nucleotide ribosomal RNA is filed under the name Photobacterium jeanii. RNAcentral describes it as "bacterial SSU rRNA". It matches the Rfam family "Bacterial small subunit ribosomal RNA", at positions 45 to 965 of the family's 1533-position model. Lineage: Bacteria; Pseudomonadati; Pseudomonadota; Gammaproteobacteria; Vibrionales; Vibrionaceae. The record is from RNAcentral.